GAGCGACGCCGAAGGAGCGGGAGCGACUCACUCAUGGGAGCGCGGCGGGCGAGGCCGGCGACACCUCCGGCUUCCGAGGCGCCGGCGAAGUUAAUUGCACUGAAGUUCAAGUUGUCUUUUCACCCAUCAGGAGUGGGCGUUUAAAGGAAGGAGAGCGAGGAGGAGGAGGGGGAGGGGGGAGAGCCUCUCUCGCUCGCUCUCGCACACACACACACACACGCACACACACACACACAUACACAGAGAGAGAGAGAGAGAGAGAGACGCGCACACAGACACACGCACACAGACGCGCACGCCCGCCCGCUCCCGCGCUGCCUCAGCAGGAGGAGCCCGGCCGGAACACACCAGGGCAGCACCAGAUAAAAAUUUAUUUGCCUGUAGCUGGUCUGCUGUAGCGCUUUGGACCUAUUCGCUUCUCAGAGAAGACUUGGCUUUUCAUGGUCUCUAGGUACCACGGGGCAAUAAAUAGAAAGUCAGUGCAAGGGGGAUGUUCACACUUUUACAGUCACAACUCUCCGCUGCCUCCUCGCUGAGCUCUUCUGUCUGCCUAACCAGCAUGCUCCUGUUGUCCAAGACCCAUCUCCUUUAUUUGUAUCACACCCCUGUCUGGCUGGUGAGGUAAUGAAACUGUUGAAUCUGCAGACUGAAACCGUCAGAAGCCUUUCCUGAGGUGCCCCUUACUGAAAUGCUACUGUGGCAUAAUGAUUUGGAAAUAAGCUUUUGUGUGAGAAGAGCUAUCGGAUCCUCUGGGAAACAUUACAGAUACUUUCCAGUUCCUUUCAGACAUGUAAAUAUGUUUAGACAUGAGCAGAGGGUAGAGCUGGGGAGUGGAGUAGGGUGGGGUUAGAAGCUUCCUCAUAGAUCCUGGAACCAAAUAAAUACAUGCGUUUUUUUUUCUUCUUAUCUGAUGUUAGCUGGAACUUGAAAUGGUCAAUAUUCAGAAGAAAAACUGCAUAAAUGUGUGUAUAUGUAAGAGUUAUGUUGACCCAUGAUUAAAAGAGAGGGUCCUCUUCUGCUGUUCAUCACAAAUGAUCAACAGAACUCUUCAUAAUGCUCAGAUGCUUGCAUCGAUCCCAAGAAAUACGAACUUUAUGAAGUAUGACUUGUUUCCGUCUCAAAGUGUGCAGCUAUAGCUAUAGCACUGAAAACCGUUGCAUGCUAUCUAGCAUUUCUCAUGAUUUUUUGCUUUCUUCAUGAUUUAAGCUAAGCACAUCAGAAACUGAAGAUAACGUUUUAACCUAUAAGAACAGCAGCCUGACUUCUGUAAUGUGCUCAUGUGCUAUUACCUGUGAAACAGAGCAAGAAGACUGCUCACUAGCAGGGUCUGCCCAUCGCUGUCCAGCUGCCUAAUGACAUGUUAAGACUUGGUUUCAGCAACUGUGCUCCAACCAGUAUUACUAUAAUUGGUUGUAGUUGAAGAUGUCAGUAAAAAAAUACAAUCAGGCUGGAGUGUCCUACGCAUAUUUUAAAUGCAAAUGGCCGUUAUCAGCUGUAUCAUAACUUUAUCUGAUGUCUGAUCUUAGUGGUGGCUCUGUGGAAAAGACUCAGAUGACUUUUUCUGAACACAGCUGCUCCUUUCAGUGCAUUUCUGCAGUCUUUUGAUUAUCUUACUUACUAUCUGUUGGCUAGACACCAACCUCCUGAACUUAGGCCUGUGUCACCUCACUACCUGUGUCUCUCCUAAAAAAUCUGUUCAUUCAAAAGGAUAUCAUGCCAACAAUAUAACAGAUUCAUCUGUCUUUCUGCAAACUGGCUUGAGUUUCUUCCAGCCACUCACUGGGGUUGCUUGUUUCCAGGCCCUGAUGCUGCACAGUACCUCAAUCCAUUCAGCUUCUCUUCAAGAUGGUAACUACUUUCCGCUCCACAUCUCUGCUGCAGAAGAUCUUGUGAUUACCUGAAAAAGUGAAUUGCAUCCUGUAGAUUUCCCCUUAAAACUUCUGCUUCACAGAAGAGAUCAGCUUGUGACAGAUGCGUCAGCAAUGUCAGACUCACUUCUCUGUUGCCUAAUUGCCCUCUCCACCUUCUGUCAAUCUGAAACUCUCAUUUUGGAAAGGACUGAAGGAGUUGUAUUAAUAUUUGUGCUAUCCACAUUUUUCCUGCAUAUUGUCUGCUCCUUCCCUUGGUGUCUGGUUUGUCUUGGCUGCUUUUAAAAAUUCUGUUGCCUCUAGUGAGGGACUGCCAGAUUAAACCAGUACAGAGAAUCCAGGUGACUGUCUACUUUUACAAAUAUAGGUUGUGUAUAAUAAAUUCAGGUUUUACAUCUAUGCAAAUUAAGUCAUCAUAUGAUUAUGACUACAUGCAUUUUUUUAUCAAAUAUGGCAUAUAUUUCACAAAUUAUAUUUAACUUAUACACAUGUUGCUAUUCUGAAUACCUGACUAGGAAUUACAAAGUGUGUCACUAGAUCUUAGUAAGUGGGCUUAUGGAACAAGAAGAAAUAAGAGAAAAUCACCUCUUUUCCUUGCAUUCCUGACAAGUCCAGUGUAAGGGCUUUUCCUACUCUAGAUGGCAAUAUAAACACCUUACCACAGAGCUGUUGAGAGAUAAAAGUACAUCUUGUUGUUGGAAACUUAAAGAAUGUAUGAAAAACAAAACAAAAUACCCUAAAAAAGGAAGUUUUAAAGUAAUGUGUCUUUGGUCUAGUGUUUGUCACAUCUACUUGGUAUGGCCUUCCUCUAAUGUUUCAGUCAUGCAGUGUAAGACAUUAGUCACAAUGUCAAAAUAAGCACAUUACUUCUGCAAAAAUGUAUUUUCACCUCAGGAAUAUUGUGAAGUGAAAAUAGGAUUUAGCACAAUUCUUCCUUUUGAGUUUUUCUACAGACAGGACAGUUUUAGUGUAAAGCUCUAAAUCUUGCAAGAUUAUUCCCAGCAUUAGGUACGACACAUCUGGAAGAAUCUGCCAACUGAGUGCUGGCAAGGAUUACGCUGAGAAGGUAACAACUCAGUGCUUUCACUGUUAACCGUCCUCCACAACUGCUGUUUUUUGGUGUUUUUGUGUGUGUGUGUUCGUUUGUUUCUUUGUUUUCCGAAUAAAUAAACAAAUACUUUGUUGAGCUCAA
This 3060-nucleotide long non-coding RNA is filed under the name Gallus gallus (chicken). RNAcentral describes it as "lncRNA (ENSGALG00010002921.1)". Lineage: Eukaryota; Metazoa; Chordata; Aves; Galliformes; Phasianidae. The record is from RNAcentral.